RNAcentral lists this ribosomal RNA (229 nucleotides) under uncultured bacterium. RNAcentral describes it as "partial 16S ribosomal RNA". It matches the Rfam family "Bacterial small subunit ribosomal RNA", at positions 568 to 796 of the family's 1533-position model. The record is from RNAcentral.
UGCGUAGGCGGACUCAUAAGUCAGUGGUGAAAUCUUGCAGCUUAACUGUAAAACUGCCAUUGAUACUGUUAGUCUUGAAUUUAGUUGAGGUAGGCGGAAUGUAUUGUGUAGCGGUGAAAUGCAUAGAUAUAAUACAGAACACCGAUUGCGAAGGCAGCUUACUAAGCUAUGAUUGACGCUGAGGUACGAAAGCGUGGGGAGCGAACAGGAUUAGAUACCCUGGUAGUCC